This 20-nucleotide microRNA is filed under the name Ciona intestinalis (vase tunicate). Its description in RNAcentral is "cin-miR-4023-3p (mir4023)". Lineage: Eukaryota; Metazoa; Chordata; Ascidiacea; Phlebobranchia; Cionidae. The record is from RNAcentral.
UAAGUUGUGUAAAUUCAAAC